This 222-nucleotide ribosomal RNA is filed under the name uncultured bacterium. Its description in RNAcentral is "partial 16S ribosomal RNA". It matches the Rfam family "Bacterial small subunit ribosomal RNA", at positions 113 to 334 of the family's 1533-position model. The record is from RNAcentral.
CGACGUGAGUAACCUGCCUUGGAGUGGGGAAUAACACAGUGAAAACUGUGCUAAUACCGCAUAAUGCAUUUGGGUCGCAUGAUUCUGAAUGCCAAAGAUUUAUCGCUCUGAGAUGGACUCGCGUCUGAUUAGCUGGUUGGCGGGGUAACGGCCCACCAAGGCGACGAUCAGUAGCCGGACUGAGAGGUUGACCGGCCACAUUGGGACUGAGGCACGGCCCAA